AAAAAUUGUGCUAAUCCAGGCCUAAAUUUAAUGUAAUAACAAGACGUAUAUCCAGAUGGUCCUUCCUGAAGAUUGAAUGAACGAACAUCCCUUAAAACAUCAUAAUUAACAUUGCCAGGAUCUGACAUCCAUUCUCCAACAGUUGGAUCUACAGUAGCAUGAAUUAUAGUUUGAUCUAAAUCAACAAUCAAUGAAAGUCGCUUCUCUUGCCUAAGGCGUUUAACGUUUUCUGAUUCCAGUCUGCUAGCUUCCUAAAAAUAAUGUUAACUAAUGAUU
Non-coding RNA from Schizosaccharomyces pombe (fission yeast), 276 nucleotides. NCBI's taxonomy places the organism in Eukaryota, Fungi, Ascomycota, Schizosaccharomycetes, Schizosaccharomycetales, Schizosaccharomycetaceae. The record is from the annotation of a GenBank genome assembly.